GCAAGUCGAACGAACUCUGGUAUUGAUUGGUGCUUGCAUCAUGAUUUACAUUUGAGUGAGUGGCGAACUGGUGAGUAACACGUGGGAAACCUGCCCAGAAGCGGGGGAUAACACCUGGAAACAGAUGCUAAUACCGCAUAACAACUUGGACCGCAUGGUCCGAGUUUGAAAGAUGGCUUCGGCUAUCACUUUUGGAUGGUCCCGCGGCGUAUUAGCUAGAUGGUGGGGUAACGGCUCACCAUGGCAAUGAUACGUAGCCGACCUGAGAGGGUAAUCGGCCACAUUGGGACUGAGACACGGCCCAAACUCCUACGGGAGGCAGCAGUAGGGAAUCUUCCACAAUGGACGAAAGUCUGAUGGAGCAACGCCGCGUGAGUGAAGAAGGGUUUCGGCUCGUAAAACUCUGUUGUUAAAGAAUAACAUAUCUGAGAGUAACUGUUCAGGUAUUGACGGUAUUUAACCAGAAAGCCACGGCUAACUACGUGCCAGCAGCCGCGGUAAUACGUAGGUGGCAAGCGUUGUCCGGAUUUAUUGGGCGUAAAGCGAGCGCAGGCGGUUUUUUAAGUCUGAUGUGAAAGCCUUCGGCUCAACCGAAGAAGUGCAUCGUAAACUGGGAAACUUGAGUGCAGAAGAGGACAGUGGAACUCCAUGUGUAGCGCUG
RNAcentral lists this ribosomal RNA (661 nucleotides) under Lactiplantibacillus plantarum. Its description in RNAcentral is "bacterial SSU rRNA". It matches the Rfam family "Bacterial small subunit ribosomal RNA", at positions 57 to 683 of the family's 1533-position model. The record is from RNAcentral. Lineage: Bacteria; Bacillati; Bacillota; Bacilli; Lactobacillales; Lactobacillaceae.